GACGAACGCUGGCGGCGUGCUUAACACAUGCAAGUCGAACGAAGUGGCGAACGGGUGAGUAACGCGUACUCAACCUGCCCUUCAGAGGGGGACAACAGUUGGAAACGACUGCUAAUACCGCAUACUGAAGGAGGGGAUUGCGUCUGAUUAGCUAGUUGGAGGGGUAAAGGCCCACACAGGCUAUGAUCAGUGGCCGGUCUGAGAGGAUGAACGGCCACAGUGGGACGGAGACAUGGCCCAGACUCCUACGGGAGGAAGCAGUGGGGAAUCUUCCGCAAUGGACGAAAGUCUGACGGAGCAACGCCGCGUGAGUGAUGACGGCCUUCGGGUUGUAAAGCUCUGUUAAUCGGGACGCGGUACCGGAAUAGAAAGCCACGGCUAACUACGUGCCAGCAGCCGCGGUAAUUC
Molecule: ribosomal RNA, 408 nt
Filed under: uncultured bacterium
Lineage: Bacteria
Description: partial 16S ribosomal RNA
Rfam family: Bacterial small subunit ribosomal RNA
Source: RNAcentral